Molecule: long non-coding RNA, 537 nt
Organism: Pezoporus flaviventris
Lineage: Eukaryota; Metazoa; Chordata; Aves; Psittaciformes; Psittacidae
Exons: 4
Source: RefSeq, a predicted model, not a curated record
UGGAGCAAGUGGAAGGUGUCUCUCGUUGCAGCUGGGUGGGCUUUAAGGUCCCUCUAUCAUCUGUGUGAAGCUCAAGGCUCUGUUCUUCCCCAGCAGCAUCCCAACAUGGAAGGCGAUCCUAGGGCAUGGGAUGGUUGAUGCCCAGCUCAGCCUUGGACAGGGUCAUUUGGCUGCUGGAUGAUGACCGUGACCUGCCGGUGCGUAGGCCUCAGGAAUUACUUGGUGGAAAAGAGCUGCUGAGCCCCUCGCUGUGGGGAAGGGAUAGGCUUUGCCUGCCUUAGGGCCUGCAUCGUGGGAAGCUGACGUGGAACCGGGUCUGCAUGGAGCUGAGGUGGGAGCUGGUCCUUGAGGGCUGCAGCAGCUCUGCAGAGCCACAUCCUGGCUCCUUCCUGAGCUCCACUCACUGCACCCACCAAGAGGGACCCUGCCUGGCUCCUGCUGCAGUCCUGCAUGGAAGGACUGGAGUUUUCCAAGGAGAAGAGCUUGGAGGGGAGGGUCUGGGUAUGGAAUGUUGGAAGGUGAAUAAACAAUCACACG